This 1460-nucleotide small RNA is filed under the name Arabidopsis thaliana (thale cress). RNAcentral describes it as "ATSL043340". The record is from RNAcentral. Lineage: Eukaryota; Viridiplantae; Streptophyta; Magnoliopsida; Brassicales; Brassicaceae.
UAUAUUUCUAUUUUAUAAAUGAAACAACCCGACCCAUUUUUAAAAAAAAUAUAAUUAAAUAUUCCCAUAAAUAUCUAAUUAAACCAACCAACAAAAUAACAAUUAAACCGCAAGUCAAAAAUACUAUUUUAUGAAUAAAUAAAUAAUUCGACCAACAAAACCAAGAAUAACUAACAAUCCUAACCGGGUUCCAAUAACCAAAAACACCAAAAUAAAACAAACGAGUUCCUACAUCAUCCUCUCUUCCUUGCCAUGAUUCCACGAUCACACUUUAUCUUUACCUGCAUCAACAACACAAUGAGAUGCGUAAGUAUUAUCAUAAAUACUUAGUGAGGCGAUCCUCCCAUCUACGAGCUAUACACACAAGCAAAUACAAAGGUAUAAUCACGAAUACAAUACAAACAAACCAGUCAUUGAACAAUUCACCCAAAACACAUUCACCACACCUACAUAUCAUCACACAAAACAAAUCACACAACCCAAUCGCUCAGAUAAGCUCAUGGUCACGCACUCACCUUAACAAAUUGAUUCUAAUAGCAAUUAAACCCAGGAGAGACUCUCCUUGCGUCUGAAACAGUCCAGAAACGUCCUGCAACAAGUCCACAACCAAAAGCAACCUUGAAGCAAAGUGGACAGGAAAAACCAGAAACAAACCGUCUCAAAGACGAAACCCUAAAAUACAAGCUAAACGUUAACUAUUCAAUCGCUCCGGUGAAAUCCUAGCUGCAGACGUCACAAAGCUGCCCACAAAAUCUCGUGCCGAUCAAAAAACAGACGAGACCACGAUCUCAGUUUCAAUUUCCGCUGGUCCUAAUUCGCGUCUGAGAAAACGUGUCUCACGAAACUGCGAAUAACUCAACCAAUUUUAAUCCAAAUCCAAUUCUGUAAACUGGAGAAUAACUAUAAAGGACUUGGGAAUAACUCUACCAAAUUUCGUUACCUUUUACCACGAUUUGAUAUGACGAAACUGAUUUCUCCCAAACCCUAACGAUUGUGCUCCUUCUCCUUUUCUCUCUUUUUCUCAUUUAUAAAACGAAAAGUGGCUAACUAAACCCUAAUUUCGAGUUUCCUUCUUUUAUAGGCACACUAUAGGGUUUCCAAUUAACCCAACCAAUUAAACCGGAUGAUUUAAAAACAAACCCUAACCGAUUUUCCGGUUCACGGGCGUUACAAUAAACAGCUAAGAAAAAUAAUUAAGAUUUUGGGGAUUUGCAAACUACCAUUUUUUUAUACUCUUUUGUAAUAAUACCCUCUAAUGUUGUCCAUUUUUAAAAAUACCAUUUUCCUUAAACAUAAUGACCUAAUUACUCUCAUCUAAUAAGAACAUGUAAUUGGAAACUGAAAAUUUUCCACCAAGUUUAUUUUUCCCACAAAAAAAAAAAAAUUCGCCAAACUUUUUUUCCGCCAAAACAAAAAGGGUUUCUCGCCAAAAUUUUUUUUAAAAAUCCUUGUAAUUUUUU